UACGGAGGGUGCGAGCGUUUGUCCGGAAUCACUGGGCGUAAAGGGCGCGUAGGUGGCCUGGUAAGUGUGUGGUGAAAGCCCGGGGCUCAACCCCGGGUCGGCCAUGCAAACUGCGAGGCUGGAGCACUGUAGAGGCAGGCGGAAUUCCGGGUGUAGCGGUGGAAUGCGUAGAGAUCCGGAAGAACACCGGUGGCGAAGGCGGCCUGCUGGGCAGUAGCUGACACUGAGGCGCGACAGCGUGGGGAGCAAACAGG
This 254-nucleotide ribosomal RNA is filed under the name uncultured bacterium. RNAcentral describes it as "partial 16S ribosomal RNA". It matches the Rfam family "Bacterial small subunit ribosomal RNA", at positions 524 to 776 of the family's 1533-position model. The record is from RNAcentral.